This 1137-nucleotide ribosomal RNA is filed under the name Escherichia coli. RNAcentral's name for it is "partial 23S ribosomal RNA". It matches the Rfam family "Bacterial large subunit ribosomal RNA", at positions 1 to 1169 of the family's 2925-position model. The record is from RNAcentral. Lineage: Bacteria; Pseudomonadati; Pseudomonadota; Gammaproteobacteria; Enterobacterales; Enterobacteriaceae.
GGGUUGUGAGGUUAAGCGACUAAGCGUACACGGUGGAUGCCCUGGCAGUCAGAGGCGAUGAAGGACGUGCUAAUCUGCGAUAAGCGUCGGUAAGGUGAUAUGAACCGUUAUAACCGGCGAUUUCCGAAUGGGGAAACCCAGUGUGUUUCGACACACUAUCAUUAACUGAAUCCAUAGGUUAAUGAGGCGAACCGGGGGAACUGAAACAUCUAAGUACCCCGAGGAAAAGAAAUCAACCGAGAUUCCCCCAGUAGCGGCGAGCGAACGGGGAGCAGCCCAGAGCCUGAAUCAGUGUGUGUGUUAGUGGAAGCGUCUGGAAAGGCGUGCGAUACAGGGUGACAGCCCCGUACACAAAAAUGCACAUGCUGUGAGCUCGAUGAGUAGGGCGGGACACGUGGUAUCCUGUCUGAAUAUGGGGGGACCAUCCUCCAAGGCUAAAUACUCCUGACUGACCGAUAGUGAACCAGUACCGUGAGGGAAAGGCGAAAAGAACCCCGGCGAGGGGAGUGAAAAAGAACCUGAAACCGUGUACGUACAAGCAGUGGGAGCACGCUUAGGCGUGUGACUGCGUACCUUUUGUAUAAUGGGUCAGCGACUUAUAUUCUGUAGCAAGGUUAACCGAAUAGGGGAGCCGAAGGGAAACCGAGUCUUAACUGGGCGUUAAGUUGCAGGGUAUAGACCCGAAACCCGGUGAUCUAGCCAUGGGCAGGUUGAAGGUUGGGUAACACUAACUGGAGGACCGAACCGACUAAUGUUGAAAAAUUAGCGGAUGACUUGUGGCUGGGGGUGAAAGGCCAAUCAAACCGGGAGAUAGCUGGUUCUCCCCGAAAGCUAUUUAGGUAGCGCCUCGUGAAUUCAUCUCCGGGGGUAGAGCACUGUUUCGGCAAGGGGGUCAUCCCGACUUACCAACCCGAUGCAAACUGCGAAUACCGGAGAAUGUUAUCACGGGAGACACACGGCGGGUGCUAACGUCCGUCGUGAAGAGGGAAACAACCCAGACCGCCAGCUAAGGUCCCAAAGUCAUGGUUAAGUGGGAAACGAUGUGGGAAGGCCCAGACAGCCAGGAUGUUGGCUUAGAAGCAGCCAUCAUUUAAAGAAAGCGUAAUAGCUCACUGGUCGAGUCGGCCUGCGCGGAAG